Lynx canadensis (Canada lynx) is the source of this 2029-nucleotide long non-coding RNA. RefSeq lists it as uncharacterized. The transcript has 5 exons. Lineage: Eukaryota; Metazoa; Chordata; Mammalia; Carnivora; Felidae. The record is from RefSeq and is a predicted model, not a curated record.
GACCUGAGCCAAAGUCGGACGCUCAACCCACGGAGCCACCCAGGCACCCCUGUAUACGUGGUAAUUCUUAUUUGGAUACCAGGUUGUAUUGGUGAAGAUAUUGAGAAACAGAUACGCUCCUUGUUUUCAAGUGUAAGCUUUUAAGAGAGCCAUCUGACAUCUGUGAAAAUUUAAAAAUGCACUGCCACCUUCAGGAAUUUACACCAGAUGUAUAAAUGUGUCCAGAGAAUAGACACAGAGCCGGAGUUUUGUGUCAAAAGUGGCUGCUUUAUAAGCUGCUAAGAAAUCUGCAGAAAGUUUUCAUUCUUGGCGAUUGUGGAUUAGCCUCUCGGUUUGGAAGAAUUGGGAGUCUCUUACACAAAGGAUGUUUGCGCACGCUUAUUAUUAGAAUGGACACGGACGAAGGAAGUUUUAAGGAACUUGAAGUAGAAGAAAUACUGUGUCUGAAAUAUGAAGAAAAAAAUAAAGAGUAAAAACUAAAUAAAAACAAGAAACCACCACAACUGCAGCUCCAAGAAUUGCGGCACAAUAACAAGCAACCUAAUGUACCUGCAAAAGCGGUUCCAGGAAGAGAAGAGGGAAGAAGAAAUAUUUGAAGAGCAGCCGUGAAACCGGAAUAGGCUUACCCAUUUGUAAACAGGGUAAAACCAAAUCCUGGACUCGGCAGUUUUGUGGACAGGUCUGGGAUGCUGACAGGCGUGGCGUUCCAGAUCAGAAGGCAGAGGUCCUACAGGCCAGGUCAGGAACACGAGACCUCCUGGGAGACAGCAGCAAAUGCUCUGGCCUAAGUGGUUAACGCGGAAACAAAGUAACGAGCUCCCUACCUCCUAUUAACGACGAUGAACAGCUAGAUGCGGGAUUGACGUCGGUCUGGCAACCCAAAUUUGCUCCCUCUUCUGGGCAGGAUGAGAUAGGGAUGUUAGCACAGCAGAGCAGCAAGCCCCAUGGCCCCAGCAGGAAGGCAACAGGGCUAGGAAUGCUACGGAAGGAAAGGAGACCUCGAAACUGAGAUUAAUGUUGUCAGUGAUGAGGACUUUGCUAUUCGAUAGAGAGCUCUGGGUGACCUGAAAACAUAAGUCCAUUUGGUUGAAAUGGAGUGUGGGUGGCCCCUCGAAGGCGAGGAAAGCCUUGCCUGUUAGCGCAAAGUCUCAGCCAAACCUGGCAGAGAGUGAAGAUGGGGCUCUGGGUGCCAAGGUGGCCAAAGCUGGAAGACUGCAUGCAGCACAAUGGCGUGUGCGUGAGCAGGAAGUAAAGGGCCCCCGAGGAUGGGCACUCACUGGGUGCAGGGAGCACUUGGGGGAGGAAGCAGCAGCGGUGCUCAAGCAUUAUCUGCAGCCAGAGGUUAAUGGAGAAAAUCCGGAUUCCCCCCUUCCCCCUCCCCACCAUUGCUCCCACUGUCCCCAUGGACAGCCUCCUCCAUCUCCCAGCUGGGGUGACUUGGUCUCUUGGCAUCUGUGCUGUAGCCCCUGAUACGUGGGUUAAACUUCUCGGUCUGUGAUCCUAUUGAGAAAAAAAGACACUUGAAUUCAACUGAUGGGUUGGACAAGGCUUGUAGUGGGGAAGGAAGCUGAAAUUGUUAGGGACCCCUCUGAGCCAGAGAGAGCAGUCCCCAAGUGCUGAAAUAGGUUAAUAUAAGAGGCCGAAAUGAAACUUACGGUCAAGCCUCUGAUCACUUCAACAGUAAAAGCGACAGACUAAAUCAGAUGAAGCGUAGGUUCCUCUACAAAGGCUCCUGAAGGCUUGUAGACCUGGGGGGGAGGGAGGGGGUGAAGUGAAACAGGAGGAGGGCCUAAGAGUGGAAAAAGUCCGGAGAGCGAAGAAAGGUGUCUUCAAGUUAACCCCCUUCCCUCCUAUAAGCAGGUGUCAGUAAAGGUACCUGAGGAAUGCUUCUGCUGAAGCCCGUGACAAAGAGGCUCUGAAUAGAGGCACUGGCUACGUAGCACUGCGGCUGUGAAUAAAAGCCUGUGUCCUUGGGGCGCCUGGGGGACUCAGUGGGUUAAGCGUCCGACGUCAGCUCAGGUCAUGAUCU